AAGUCGUAACAAGGUUUCCGUAGGUGAACCUGCGGAAGGAUCAUUACAAAUCCAAGUCAAGUCUAUUGACAAGUUGAAAUGUGUGUGAGAGAGAGAAUAUAUUUCCACACAAAGUCCAUACAUCAGUUGAACAAAUAUCAUUCAUUCUAUAUUUUACACAACUUGUAACAAUGGAUCUCUAGGCUCUU
Molecule: unclassified non-coding RNA, 188 nt
Filed under: fungal sp.
Lineage: Eukaryota; Fungi
Description: partial internal transcribed spacer region
Rfam family: Eukaryotic small subunit ribosomal RNA (bases 1-46)
Source: RNAcentral